GAUGAACGCUGGCGGCGUGCCUAAUACAUGCAAGUCGAGCGAACAGACGAGGAGCUUGCUCCUCUGACGUUAGCGGCGGACGGGUGAGUAACACGUGGAUAACCUACCUAUAAGACUCGGAUAACUUCGGGAAACCGGAGCUAAUACCGGAUAACAUGUUGAACCGCAUGGUUCAACAGUGAAAGACGGUCUUGCUGUCACUUAUAGAUGGAUCCGCGCCGCAUUAGCUAGUUGGUAAGGUAACGGCUUACCAAGGCAACGAUGCGUAGCCGACCUGAGAGGGUGAUCGGCCACACUGGAACUGAGACACGGUCCAGACUCCUACGGGAGGCAGCAGUAGGGAAUCUUCCGCAAAGGGCGAAAGCCUGACGGAGCAACGCCGCGUGAGUGAAGAAGGUCUUCGGAUCGUAAAACUCUGUUAUUAGGGAAGAACAAAUGUGUAAGUAACUAUGCACGUCUUGACGGUACCUAAUCAGAAAGCCACGGCUAACUACGUG
This 497-nucleotide ribosomal RNA is filed under the name uncultured bacterium. Its description in RNAcentral is "partial 16S ribosomal RNA". It matches the Rfam family "Bacterial small subunit ribosomal RNA", at positions 28 to 507 of the family's 1533-position model. The record is from RNAcentral.